This 610-nucleotide ribosomal RNA is filed under the name uncultured bacterium. Its description in RNAcentral is "bacterial SSU rRNA". It matches the Rfam family "Bacterial small subunit ribosomal RNA", at positions 338 to 948 of the family's 1533-position model. The record is from RNAcentral.
CCUACGGGAGGCAGCAGUGGGGAAUUUUGGACAAUGGGCGCAAGCCUGAUCCAGCCAUGCCGCGUGCGGGAAGAAGGCCUUCGGGUUGUAAACCGCUUUUGUCAGGGAAGAAAUCCUUUGAGUUAAUACCUCGGGGGGAUGACGGUACCUGAAGAAUAAGCACCGGCUAACUACGUGCCAGCAGCCGCGGUAAUACGUAGGGUGCGAGCGUUAAUCGGAAUUACUGGGCGUAAAGCGUGCGCAGGCGGUCUUGCAAGACAGGUGUGAAAUCCCCGGGCUUAACCUGGGAACUGCACUUGUGACUGCAAGGCUGGAGUACGGCAGAGGGGGAUGGAAUUCCGCGUGUAGCAGUGAAAUGCGUAGAUAUGCGGAGGAACACCGAUGGCGAAGGCAAUCCCCUGGGCCUGUACUGACGCUCAUGCACGAAAGCGUGGGGAGCAAACAGGAUUAGAUACCCUGGUAGUCCACGCCCUAAACGAUGUCAACUGGUUGUUGGACGGCUUGCUGUUCAGUAACGAAGCUAACGCGUGAAGUUGACUGCCUGGGGAUCGGCGCAGUUGAACUCAAAGGAUUGACGGNNGNGAGNGCGAGACGACGACGAGGGAGGAGG